This 224-nucleotide long non-coding RNA is filed under the name Mytilus galloprovincialis (Mediterranean mussel). Lineage: Eukaryota; Metazoa; Mollusca; Bivalvia; Mytilida; Mytilidae. The record is from RNAcentral.
UUGUAACUGAAAUAUAUGAGUAUGCAUUAUUUAUAAGUUGCUAGACAUGAGCAUGCAUAUGAUCACUUACUCCACUAUAUUGUGUGUACUCACAAAGGUAUAUAAGAGGCUUAAAGUAAAGCUAAAUGUAGCUGUGAAGCUAGUGGCAAUAGGGUUUAAGUGCAAUCUUUACACCAGAAACAAGUUUUAUCUUAAUCCAAUAAAUACCCAUAUUUAUUAACAGG